Acanthochromis polyacanthus (spiny chromis) is the source of this 4947-nucleotide long non-coding RNA. RefSeq lists it as uncharacterized. The record is from RefSeq and is a predicted model, not a curated record. The transcript has 2 exons. NCBI's taxonomy places the organism in Eukaryota, Metazoa, Chordata, Actinopteri, Pomacentridae.
UUAUUUUUUAAAGAAACUGUUAAUUACCGUAAUCUUAUCUUUCAUUACCGCAACAGGCCUCUACAUUACAUGAUAAUGAAAGCUACGCAUUACGGUAAUGAAUGACAUUUACCUAAGCUAGCUUAAAAUGGCAGUAUGCUAUAAUGACUCAGCAAAAAAAAUCUUAACCAGCAGUGUCAGCUCUCUACUACUUUCUUUACAGUAAACUAUCUAAUUGAAGACUUUUUAAGAACAUGAAAUAUUACACAUUACGGUAAUGAUCACUUAUGGUGUGGAAGGAGACAGAUGUAACGAUAAACUUAACGAUUACCAACAUCAAACAAUGCCAAACAAUCUUACUUUGUAGCCAUCUUUCCUCUUGUGUUCUUUGUGAUGCAUUAUGGGUAAGAAUAACUUUAUUUAAAAUAACACUGUGAUUAUGACAGGGCCAUGAACAAGGUGCAACGGUAAUGAAAGCUGCAUGUUAGGACACUCCAUUUUCCUCAAAUAUUUUUUUAAACAACUUAGGUAACCAUUAUAGCUUAUCAUAAUCUGCUACAUAAUAUCGUUUUAAACAGAUUUAUAUAAUUUUCUGUAAAAUUGCUUUAAUAUUCAUGAUGCUACAUUGAGGUGAAACCAUUAAAUUUUUCACUGGACGCAUUACGGUAAUGAAUUUAAAACUCCAAAAUCAGUUUAAAAAAAAAAAUACAAUUUUGGCAACAAACUGUGGACAAUGCCACAUAACAGAUGUAAUGAUCUUUCAAUAAAAAUUAAAUAUUUCAGGUUACAGGUCAAGUAUGUCCCUAAAAUCUUUGAAGACACAGCUUCGGUUGACUUAAUGAGAAUCGCCCACUGCACAGAAGUGUUCUAACACCCCUGGGUUCCAUUCUACACAAACUUGUGUGAUAACUUAGCAAACUGGAGCUUUCUAGGUACCUCAGUUUGGAAAAUAUGAGCUCCCAAAGUUGGACGAGAUUUUUAAUUGGCUAUUUUUGGUCUCAAAAAUCUCAGUGUGGGACAGGUACCAGAGACCCCAAAUUUUUCUACAAGACAGUUCCAUCUGUCUUUCUAUCACUGUACAAAAAAGCAGCAGGGUUAUAUUUGUAGUUACUGAGAUAUUCUUACUCAAAAUGGCAUGGGUAAUGUCAAAAUCGUUUUUUGCUUUUCAGUACUUUAAAUUGGGAUACAAGUAUUAGUAGUCAUUUCAAUGGUAUUGGCGCUUUCAAUAUUAGAGUUGCUGGGCUGCUCCUCUUCUUCUGGUAAUGGUAAUGUUCUUUUUGAAAUGUUAGUUAUUAAAGGUGACUACCUUCAAAAAGUGUAAUGGUAUAACUUAGGUAUACCUAAGUUAUAACUUAGGUAUAGGUUCUUUUUAUAGCCCAAAUUCUGAAAAUUUCAGACCCCCACAACUCAGAAACUAUUUGAGCUACAGGCCUACAAUUUUGCAUAGAAAGCACUUUUGUGACUAUCUAAUUGCAUGCAAAUUUAGGACUAAUUUGAAAAUGGUGCGGCAACCACCAUCUGGUGAAACCACACGGAAUGACCCUAUAAUGUUCAGAUUUUCAUUCCAUAUAUUCAAAGUUUCAUUCCAUAUAUUCAGACUUUUUCCUACGGAGCCCUGGAAGGGACAUGGCAAACAAAAACAGGAAUCUUAGUGGACGUUUUCUCUUCAGAUUAGCUAUCCGUCUUCAUCGUUGUCACAGGCAACAGCGACUACAUUUAAGAAGACAGAUAAUUUUUAGAGAUGUUUUGAUUCUGAACACUGAACGUGUGAGCAUUAGCUUAGUUACUUAGCUUCGACUAUGUUUGCAUCCACUACGUAGACAUUAAACACACGCCAUAUGUUGAUUAUAAUGAUAAUAUCUAUGUUUAUCUUUGUAGCUGGUCUUAAGGCUAAUUACGAGGCAGAGAUCAGCUGUUGCCUGGACAGAUCCACGAUCACGCCAUUGGUUGGACACAAUUGUACUGGAUUUCUAUCCGAACUGUCAUGAGACAUUUUUAUUGUGAUAUACCCUCCACUGUUGUUAGCUUUUGAUUCAAUAAAAUUUUCUGACAUGAGGAAAUUGCUAUUGCAUGUUUCUACUUAAAUGCCCUAUUUUUAUGAUAUAUCACUACGGCAUGAACUUUUUACAUUUUCCAUAAAUUUCACCCAAAAGUUGAAUAACUAUUUGUGAGUAGUGUAUGUAGACACGUAAUGUAAGCACACUUCAAAACUAAAUCUGCUGCAAUAGUGCAGUUUAUCUACCUAGCUUGGUGUAACAGUAAAAAAAACAACAACAUAUGCUACUGAUAUGUUUCUGACUAAAAUCUACUUGAAAAGCACAAACAAUUAUCUGUCAAAAUGUGUGUAACAAAAGUGUGCACUGAACACUGAAUAAAGUCUCUGUAGAUUAUAGACAAAAUUUGCAUCUUUCAUCACAAAUUUUCUGUUUAUUCACCCGAAGUGCAUGAGUAAAAUACAAAACAGGUGAAGUUAAAUAACUAAAAAGGAAUUUACAAAAAAAGAUUUAUUUUCUAGAAAAGGCAGUAGUCGACAAUGCAGUUUCUUUCUGAGACAGUCACUCCAGCACCGACACCAUGCAUCCCAUCAGUCCAACCAAAGUUUUAUCCAUCCUCUGGAUGUUCUGAGCAUGGCAGAGGUCACAUCUUGGUCUCUUUUGAUCUAUUCCAAGAACCGUUCCUCUGACCUCUCCAUAUACUGUAGCAGAUCCACGGCUAUGGGGGUAUUACUGUAGCAAAACUAUUUGUCAAUGCAAAUCGGGAGUUGUCUGUCUGUAUUUCAAUCCAUGUGUCCGAAGUGAGAUUUGUCAAUGUGUAAAAGAAUUUGUCUAUGUGAACUGAGAUUUGUCAAUGCGAACCGGAAUCUUCAAAGGUCGUCUGAAAAUUUAAAAUUUGUACAUGUAAUAAGAUUUGUCCAUGCGUACAAAGAGUUGUCCAUGCGUACAAAGGCAUUCGUAGUUGAAAAAUGUACGUAUCCCACUACACAUCAGCAGAAAAUACAGGCAACUCACCGGUUACGAGUCAUUCAGUUUCACAAUUGGCUGUUUUAUUUUCACAUGACCUUUGCUACACUUCUGCCGUGAGUGAGAUUCGUAUCUGAAAAAUGUUGGGUUUUAGCUCCCUGACCUCAGGCUCACAGGCUCGUCCAUGCUGGCUGCCUUCCGCUCUGCUGCCCUGUACCUCGGCAGUUCUUGCCAUCUGCAAGGCAUCAGGCGGCGCUAUGCCUCAGAGACUUUGAGCGAUCGCGACAUUGUGGGGCAGGGUCUGGACAAGAUGGAGCCCCGAUCGCACACAGCGAGUACAUGUUAAUGUUUUUGCAGUUUGUAUAUUUAAGCAGGCUAUUGCUGAGCCUUCUAAAAAUAUAAUAUUGCAGGUACAUGUGAACAACUUACAUUUGCUGAGUUUAUAGGUCGCUGAGCAAACUCUUUCAUGAAGACACCCUGCCAAUCCAUCCACUCCUGCAUGGAUCACGAUUCGGCAUCUAUAAAAGUCACAGUACAAAAUAUGAAUAGAAAUUUAUAAUUAUAGGUAGUUACAGCAAUGCUACAGUAAUGAGGAACAAGGACAAAUUAUCUCAAUAAAUGCAACAAAGAAAAAAGAAACGAAAAGACAACCACAAUUACAAUAAACAACAGAAUUAUUAAUAUUCAAUAUUAUUUAUUUAUAUAUAUCUCUCUGGGCUGUUAUAUAUUUGCAGCAAACCCCUCUCUCCUCAGAGCUGCUUCCCACUUCUUCCUCAACCCACAGUCUUUGGGAAAGUUACAUGGAGUAAAGAAAAAAGUAGACAGAGAAGUAAAUAAGUAUGUACACAACAUAUUUAUAAAGAAAUCAUGCUAAUAAAUUAAGUACAAAUAACUGAAUUAGCCAAUAUACUGGAGACCAAAGUUAUUUAAUUUGAUAAGUAUAACAUUGUUUGGUAACAUUUCAAUUAUUUGAAAGCAGUCCUAAAGAAUUGCCUAUAUUCCCAAUCAUAAAAUGGGUUUGGAGGAAGAACAUAGAUGCUAAUCUGGAUAUAUAUGAGUUAGGCUUUAUAACUACAAUUGGUAGUAUUGGUGGUAUUAAUAGUAAUGCGACUACUAGUGUACACCAACUACUGCUGCGGAUACUGUCACUGCUACUACAACUUGUAAUACUAUUACACAUGCUGAUACUACGUCUACGACUCUAACAGCUACUUAUACUACUACUGCUGCUUGUACUUUUGGUAUUACUACUACUGCUUGUACAACUAUACUACAGCUACUAUUAAUCGUCUGCUAUUUGGUUGUCCAGCUGUUAGCUCGUGUUAGUAUUUUGCUAAUGGCUAACUAGUUAGCUCUCAUAGACCCUCAACAAGAUUUAAUCAUGAAAAACGAGCCCAAAACUAUUCUUACCUGUGGAAAGUUAUUCCAAGUUUCUUGUCUUGAUCGUCCGACGUAGUGUGCAACUGUAUGCUGCACAAUGAGCCGGCAUUCUUCUUGUUUUAAUUUUCGUGCAGUACACAUCAAUGGAAAACACUGAAACUUUGCCCCCACUAGCUUAGUGUCUCCGUAGGCACGCCCAUAUGAGUCAAAACUUCAAGGACAAGUCCUACAGUGGCCUGUAGGAGACCAUGCUGACCAAGGAGCCAUACAGGGAGGAUUACAAGAACAUACUGCAGUUGGUGCAGCUGCUGAUGGUGCUGGCUGCCCAUUUCAGCUGCCCAGUGCGAGAGGGGCUUCUCUGCGCAGAACCGCAUAAAGGGCUCCAAAAGAAGCAGCCUUGCAGUCUCCAUCACCGAAGACCUCAUGAGGAUCAGCUUGGAGGGGCCAUGUCUUGAGGACUUUGAUCCAAGUCCUGCUGUGGACCACUGGAUGAACUCAGCCAAGCGUGCCAGGCGACUUGAAUACAAAAAGAUGUGGGACAGGGAUGUUCUGUGUUCAAUAACUGAGCCUACUGCUUGGCUUGUUGUAUGAAUGUUAAUAAAAUUGUGCAAUUCAUAGUGAAAAUUCA